UUUUAAAGCUGGCGUCUUCGGCGCCCGCGUUGUAAUUUGGAGAGGCAUCUUCGGUUUGGGCGCCAGCCUAUGUUCCUUGGAACAGGACGUCACAGAGGGUGAGAAUCCCGUGCUUGGCUGGCUGUCCCUUGCCAUGUGAAGUGCCUUCGACGAGUCGAGUUGUUUGGGAAUGCAGCUCAAAAUGGGUGGUAAAUUCCAUCUAAAGCUAAAUAUUGGCGGGAGACCGAUAGCGCACAAGUAGAGUGAUCGAAAGAUGAAAAGCACUUUGAAAAUAGAGUUAAAAAGUACGUGAAAUUGUUGAAAGGGAAGCGCUUGAGACCAGACUCGGCCGGAGAUGAUCAGCCGUCCUUCUGGGCGGUGCACUUGUCUCCGGUCGGGCCAGCAUCGGUUGAGACGGCGGGAUAAAGGCUCGGGGAAUGUGGCUCCUUUCGGGGAGUGUUAUAGCCCCGGGCGCAAUGCCGCCAGCCUCGACCGAGGACCGCGCUUUUCGCUAGGAUGCUGGCGUAAUGGUCUUCAGCGACCCGUCUUGAAACACGGACCAAGGAGUCUAACAUCUAUGCGAGUGUUUGGGUGUCAAACCCUUGCGCGUAAUGAAAGUGAACGGAGGUGGGAACCCCCUCGCGGGGCGCACCAUCGACCGGUCCUGAUGUCUUCGGAUGGAUCUGAGUAGGAGCAUAGCUGUUGGGACCCGAAAGAUGGUGAACUAUGCCUGAAUAGGGUGAAGCCAGAGGAAACUCUGGUGGAGGCUCGCAGCGGUUCUGACGUGCAAAUCGAUCGUCAAAUUUGGG
Molecule: ribosomal RNA, 788 nt
Filed under: Gyromitra sp.
Lineage: Eukaryota; Fungi; Ascomycota; Pezizomycetes; Pezizales; Discinaceae
Description: LSU rRNA
Rfam family: Eukaryotic large subunit ribosomal RNA
Source: RNAcentral